UCCUUGCUGGCUCAGACAGUAAAGAAUCUGCCUGCAAUGCAGGAGACCCGGGUUCAAUCCCUGGGUCAGAAA
This 72-nucleotide transfer RNA is filed under the name Muntiacus reevesi (Reeves' muntjac). It matches the Rfam family "tRNA". Rfam says of the family: Transfer RNA (tRNA) molecules are approximately 80 nucleotides in length. Their secondary structure includes four short double-helical elements and three loops (D, anti-codon, and T loops). Further hydrogen bonds mediate the characteristic L-shaped molecular structure. tRNAs have two regions of fundamental functional importance: the anti-codon, which is responsible for specific mRNA codon recognition, and the 3' end, to which the tRNAs corresponding amino acid is attached (by aminoacyl-tRNA synthetases). tRNAs cope with the degeneracy of the genetic code in two manners: having more than one tRNA (with a specific anti-codon) for a particular amino acid; and 'wobble' base-pairing, i.e. permitting non-standard base-pairing at the 3rd anti-codon position. Lineage: Eukaryota; Metazoa; Chordata; Mammalia; Artiodactyla; Cervidae. The record is from Rfam by way of RNAcentral. RNAcentral also lists the same sequence under 4 other names.